Molecule: ribosomal RNA, 602 nt
Filed under: Cicindela (Rivacindela) sp. JP-142
Lineage: Eukaryota; Metazoa; Arthropoda; Insecta; Coleoptera; Carabidae
Description: partial 16S ribosomal RNA
Rfam family: Bacterial large subunit ribosomal RNA
Source: RNAcentral
UUUAAGGUCUAACCUGCCCAAUGAGGAUUUAAAUGGCCGCAGUAUUUUGACUGUGCAAAGGUAGCAUAAUUAUUAGUUUUUUAAUUGAAAGCUUGUAUGAAGGGUUGGACGAGAUAAAAUCUGUCUUUAUUUAAAUUAAAGUAUAAUUUAACUUUUAAGUCAAAAGGCUUAAAUGUUUAUAAAAGACGAGAAGACCCUAUAGAUCUUUAUUUAGUUAAGAUUUUAAUAAUUUAGGAUUAUUUUAAUUUGGAGUCUUAAUUGAAUUUUAUUGGGGUAAUAUAAAGAUUAAAUGAAUUCUUUUUAUUUAUGACAUUAAUUUAUGAAUAUAUGAUCCAUUAAUAUUGAUUAUAAGAUUAAGUUACCUUAGGGAUAACAGCGUAAUUUUUUUGGAGAGCUCAUAUCGAUAAGAAAGUUUGCGACCUCGAUGUUGGAUUAAAAAUUAGCUUGGGUGCAGAAGCUCAAGAUUUUGGUCUGUUCGACCAUUAAAUUUUUACAUGAUCUGAGUUCAGACCGGCGCAAGCCAGGUCGGUUUCUAUCUUUAUUCAGAUAAAAUAUUUUAGUACGAAAGGACCAAGUAUUUAAUAUAAUUAUAUUUAUUUUUU